UGUGGCUGGUUUCUGGGUGGAAGACUAGUGAUUUUGUUGUUCUGACUUAUAAUUUAGACAACAAAUCGUAGCCUGCCGCCCAGCGACCACAGCCGAGCAC
Molecule: microRNA precursor, 100 nt
Filed under: Anolis carolinensis (green anole)
Lineage: Eukaryota; Metazoa; Chordata; Lepidosauria; Squamata; Anolidae
Description: microRNA aca-mir-7 precursor (aca-mir-7-1)
Gene: aca-mir-7-1
Rfam family: mir-7 microRNA precursor family
About the family: This family represents the microRNA (miRNA) precursor mir-7. In this case the mature sequence comes from the 5' arm of the precursor.
Source: miRBase by way of RNAcentral